UGCAAUUGAAGAAGUGUACUAAGGUAGCACGGUGAGUAGCCCUUUAAUUGAGGGAUUGUAUGAAUGGUUGGACACGGAGAGACUUUUUCCAAUAUAGUAAGUAGAAGUUUCUUUUCAAGUGAAAAAGCUUGAGUUUUUGUAAAAGACGAGAAGACCCUGUCGAACUUGAUUAAAACCUAAUAUAUUUAGUUUUGCUACCUUAUCUAUUUUGUUUGGUUAAGUUAGUUUUUACUGUUAUGAUUUAUGUCUUAGUUAAGAGGUAUUGUUGCGAUAAAGGUUUUAUUAACCUUUGGAAUGUAGGUGUGGAAAAUUUAUUUUAGUUUUGAAUUUUUGUUGGGGCAACAGAAGUCUAUUAAACGAUAUCUUGUUGAAUAAGGACCCUGUAUGAUAGUUUAAAAGCAAAAGUUACCGCAGGGAUAACAGCGUAAUUUUUUUCUGUAAUUGUAUCGAGAAAAGAGUUUGCGACCUCGUUUUUGGGAUUUAUA
Molecule: ribosomal RNA, 485 nt
Filed under: Meretrix petechialis
Lineage: Eukaryota; Metazoa; Mollusca; Bivalvia; Venerida; Veneridae
Description: partial 16S ribosomal RNA
Source: RNAcentral